AGUGGGGUUUGCAUCUCUCCUGUCUGGUUCUGACAAAUGUUCCUGUGAGGUCUGAUAUGUUAAAAGCAAUGUUUCUAUCUGUGGUGUGGUAAUUAGAGUUUGGUGAGUUUAUACUUGAAGACUGGUGGGGUCCCAUAACAGUUAUGAUGCAAACAGAUCCAUUCUCUCCAAGAUGAGGCAUACUUUCAACAUCUACAGCUUCUCCUUCCCCUGGAUGAGAUACCUCACUUUGGUCCUCAUUGUCUACUACUUCCCCAGUCAUACUAGCAAAAGGACAUGUGUCUUAGGGUUUAGAGGCCACACCUGUGGCCAGCAUAUUAUCAGGAUGGCCUAUUGGCUCUAUACCAUUUACACCUGUGACUAUACCUUGUGAUGAAACUGCCAUUGGUGGACAACAAGAACCACAUUAAGGACACCCGUUGGACUUUUCUUACCAUGGAACUGUUGCUUAUUGCACUAUUUAUGGACUAUAGUGUUCUCCCUUCCAUCCGCGCUCAAUGCAGAUCGGAGCACUGCUGCUGCUAAUACCGGAUACCCCAGCAGGGAGAAGAUCCUUUCCGGUGGCUCAUACAGAUUGCAGCAUGACUUUUUAUAUUUGUACCAGUCGUGAUUUAUUGGAAUUAUUUUCAUUUUUAUACAAUAUCCUUUGUGCUGUCUUCUAUAACAUUUGAGUUGUUAUAUAAUUUGUUUGUGUAGGUAACCUACCAGGUUACCACAAGGAAGCUGCAUAGGAUAUUGCACUGAUCAGUGAAAUUAUAUACUUGUGUGCUGAUACAUACGUAUAAUUCUUGCA
This is a long non-coding RNA of Pseudophryne corroboree (corroboree frog), 793 nucleotides long. RefSeq lists it as uncharacterized. Lineage: Eukaryota; Metazoa; Chordata; Amphibia; Anura; Myobatrachidae. The transcript is spliced from 2 exons. The record is from RefSeq and is a predicted model, not a curated record.